UACGUAGGAGGCGAGCGUUGUCCGGAGUUACUGGGCGUAAAGGGUGCGCAGGCGGCCGAGUGUGUGAGGCGUGAAAGCCCGGGGCUUAACCCCGGAAUGCACCUCAAACUACACGGCUAGAGCAUUGGAGAGGGUAGCAGAAUUCAUGGUGUAGCAGUGAAAUGCGUAGAUAUCAUGAGGAAUACCAGAGGCGAAGGCGGCUACCUGGACAAUUGCUGACGCUCAGGCACGAAAGCGUGGGGAGCAAAAGGG
RNAcentral lists this ribosomal RNA (252 nucleotides) under uncultured bacterium. Its description in RNAcentral is "partial 16S ribosomal RNA". It matches the Rfam family "Bacterial small subunit ribosomal RNA", at positions 524 to 776 of the family's 1533-position model. The record is from RNAcentral.